Paramisgurnus dabryanus is the source of this 516-nucleotide non-coding RNA. The record is from RefSeq and is a predicted model, not a curated record. NCBI's taxonomy places the organism in Eukaryota, Metazoa, Chordata, Actinopteri, Cypriniformes, Cobitidae.
UAAUAUUAACUGACUGUCUGUCUGUCUGCUCUCAACCAAACAGUCAUUCAAGACCUUUUAAAGUAAGGACUAACGCAAACUGACUGUCUGUCUCGUCUCAACCAAACAGUCAUUCAAGACCUUUUAAAGUUUAGCGCAAACGUUUCCUGUGCAAGUUUGAAUCUCUCUCAGUGAGGGGGGAGAUUGACUGACUAACUGUCUAAUCGCCACCAAACAGUCAUUUACCCAGAAACCUUUUAAAGUUUAGCGCACAAGUUUCCAGCACAAGUUUGGAUCUUUACCAUUGAGGAGACUGGCUGACUGUUCUCGACCAACCAUCAUUCACACGCAAAAACUUUAAAGAUAAGUAUGAACGUGCCCAGAGCAGUUUUCGAUCUUUACCAUUAAGGAGGCUGACUGACUAUCCUCUACCACCCGUCAUUAACACAACAAAAACUAAAGAAAUGUUACUCCAUAUGGACCUAUUCAUUUACUCAUUAUGCUGUGAGUACACCACAGUUCUAUCAGUGAAAAAAA